RNAcentral lists this ribosomal RNA (1548 nucleotides) under Streptococcus thermophilus. RNAcentral describes it as "bacterial SSU rRNA". It matches the Rfam family "Bacterial small subunit ribosomal RNA". RNAcentral also lists the same sequence under 3 other names. Lineage: Bacteria; Bacillati; Bacillota; Bacilli; Lactobacillales; Streptococcaceae. The record is from RNAcentral.
AUUAAUGAGAGUUUGAUCCUGGCUCAGGACGAACGCUGGCGGCGUGCCUAAUACAUGCAAGUAGAACGCUGAAGAGAGGAGCUUGCUCUUCUUGGAUGAGUUGCGAACGGGUGAGUAACGCGUAGGUAACCUGCCUUGUAGCGGGGGAUAACUAUUGGAAACGAUAGCUAAUACCGCAUAACAAUGGAUGACACAUGUCAUUUAUUUGAAAGGGGCAAUUGUUCCACUACAAGAUGGACCUGCGUUGUAUUAGCUAGUAGGUGAGGUAAUGGCUCACCUAGGCGACGAUACAUAGCCGACCUGAGAGGGUGAUCGGCCACACUGGGACUGAGACACGGCCCAGACUCCUACGGGAGGCAGCAGUAGGGAAUCUUCGGCAAUGGGGGCAACCCUGACCGAGCAACGCCGCGUGAGUGAAGAAGGUUUUCGGAUCGUAAAGCUCUGUUGUAAGUCAAGAACGGGUGUGAGAGUGGAAAGUUCACACUGUGACGGUAGCUUACCAGAAAGGGACGGCUAACUACGUGCCAGCAGCCGCGGUAAUACGUAGGUCCCGAGCGUUGUCCGGAUUUAUUGGGCGUAAAGCGAGCGCAGGCGGUUUGAUAAGUCUGAAGUUAAAGGCUGUGGCUCAACCAUAGUUCGCUUUGGAAACUGUCAAACUUGAGUGCAGAAGGGGAGAGUGGAAUUCCAUGUGUAGCGGUGAAAUGCGUAGAUAUAUGGAGGAACACCGGUGGCGAAAGCGGCUCUCUGGUCUGUAACUGACGCUGAGGCUCGAAAGCGUGGGGAGCGAACAGGAUUAGAUACCCUGGUAGUCCACGCCGUAAACGAUGAGUGCUAGGUGUUGGAUCCUUUCCGGGAUUCAGUGCCGCAGCUAACGCAUUAAGCACUCCGCCUGGGGAGUACGACCGCAAGGUUGAAACUCAAAGGAAUUGACGGGGGCCCGCACAAGCGGUGGAGCAUGUGGUUUAAUUCGAAGCAACGCGAAGAACCUUACCAGGUCUUGACAUCCCGAUGCUAUUUCUAGAGAUAGAAAGUUACUUCGGUACAUCGGUGACAGGUGGUGCAUGGUUGUCGUCAGCUCGUGUCGUGAGAUGUUGGGUUAAGUCCCGCAACGAGCGCAACCCCUAUUGUUAGUUGCCAUCAUUCAGUUGGGCACUCUAGCGAGACUGCCGGUAAUAAACCGGAGGAAGGUGGGGAUGACGUCAAAUCAUCAUGCCCCUUAUGACCUGGGCUACACACGUGCUACAAUGGUUGGUACAACGAGUUGCGAGUCGGUGACGGCGAGCUAAUCUCUUAAAGCCAAUCUCAGUUCGGAUUGUAGGCUGCAACUCGCCUACAUGAAGUCGGAAUCGCUAGUAAUCGCGGAUCAGCACGCCGCGGUGAAUACGUUCCCGGGCCUUGUACACACCGCCCGUCACACCACGAGAGUUUGUAACACCCGAAGUCGGUGAGGUAACCUUUUGGAGCCAGCCGCCUAAGGUGGGACAGAUGAUUGGGGUGAAGUCGUAACAAGGUAGCCGUAUCGGAAGGUGCGGCUGGAUCACCUCCUUU